GUCAGGAUGGCCGAGCGGUCUAAGGCGCUGCGUUCAGGUCGCAGUCUCCUCUGGAGGCGUGGGUUCGAAUCCCGAUUCUGACA
RNAcentral lists this transfer RNA (83 nucleotides) under Gadus morhua (Atlantic cod). Its description in RNAcentral is "tRNA-Leu (CAG) (tRNA-Leu-CAG-16-1)". It matches the Rfam family "tRNA". Rfam says of the family: Transfer RNA (tRNA) molecules are approximately 80 nucleotides in length. Their secondary structure includes four short double-helical elements and three loops (D, anti-codon, and T loops). Lineage: Eukaryota; Metazoa; Chordata; Actinopteri; Gadiformes; Gadidae. The record is from Rfam by way of RNAcentral.